UGUUAAAAACUUCAUCCAUAUAUACUAUUAAAAAUUGAUGUGGUUGACAAAAUGACCAGAUAAUGACACUUGGUAUACCAUGUGCAUCUCAUACUGACAUACGGUAACCAAUUUUUAACAACAGAAAUAGAUAAAAAUUUUAACA
Gossypium arboreum is the source of this 145-nucleotide non-coding RNA. NCBI's taxonomy places the organism in Eukaryota, Viridiplantae, Streptophyta, Magnoliopsida, Malvales, Malvaceae. The record is from Rfam.